CAGCGUGCCGGUCGGCUUAAAGCUUAGAGCCCCCGGUGCCGUUCAAUUUCAGCUCCCUUACAGGGAAAUGAAACCCGCCAAAGGACCAUCGACCCGUCCUGGACUGCGGUAAGAAGUCACAGUCUUCUUGCAGCAGCAGAAGCAGGCCAGUGCAGCCAGGAGGAGCAGCAGGAGCAGAGGGAUGCCGAUGCCCAGAACCAGGCCCAGAACAAGGUCCAGCUCCACAUCGCCCCCCUUGCCUCGCCCUGGAACAGGCCAGUCAGUGUUAAUAGACAGUACUCUCAGGACACUCUCCACAGGUGAACUGGUCGGGCUCUGUCUUCGACUGGCACUUCACCCCUCGGAAGCAGGGCUUGCCUUGACAUAUGUCUGAGGUGUUCCCACAGAACUUUCCAC
Scophthalmus maximus (turbot) is the source of this 396-nucleotide long non-coding RNA. RefSeq lists it as uncharacterized. The transcript is spliced from 3 exons. Lineage: Eukaryota; Metazoa; Chordata; Actinopteri; Pleuronectiformes; Scophthalmidae. The record is from RefSeq and is a predicted model, not a curated record.